This 511-nucleotide ribosomal RNA is filed under the name uncultured bacterium. Its description in RNAcentral is "partial 16S ribosomal RNA". It matches the Rfam family "Bacterial small subunit ribosomal RNA", at positions 28 to 523 of the family's 1533-position model. The record is from RNAcentral.
GACGAACGCUGGCGGCGUGCCUAAUACAUGCAAGUAGAACGCUGAAGGAGGAGCUUACUUCUCUGGAUGAGUUGCGAACGGGUGAGUAACGCGUAGGUAACCUGCCUGGUAGCGGGGGAUAACUAUUGGAAACGAUAGCUAAUACCGCAUAAGAGUAGAUGUUGCAUGACAUUUACUUAAAAGGUGCAAUUGCACCACUACCAGAUGGACCUGCGUUGUAUUAGCUAGUUGGUGGGGUAACGGCUUAACAAGGCGACGAUACAUAGCCGACCUGAGAGGGUGAUCGGCCUCACUGGGACUGAGACACGGCCCAGACUCCUACGGGAGGCAGCAGUAGGGAAUCUUCGGCAAUGGACGGAAGUCUGACCGAGCAACGCCGCGUGAGUGAAGAAGGUUUUCGGAUCGUAAAGCUCUGUUGUAAGAGAAGAACGAGUGUGAGAGUGGAAAGUUCACACUGUGACGGUAUCUUACCAGAAAGGGACGGCUAACUACGUGCCAGCCGCCGCAGUAA